This 51-nucleotide transfer RNA is filed under the name Koenigia forrestii. RNAcentral's name for it is "partial tRNA-Leu". The record is from RNAcentral. Lineage: Eukaryota; Viridiplantae; Streptophyta; Magnoliopsida; Caryophyllales; Polygonaceae. RNAcentral also lists the same sequence under 4 other names.
GAAAAUCCGUCGAUUUUUAAAAUCGUGAGGGUUCAAGUCCCUCUAUCCCCA